AGCGAACGCUGGCGGCAUGCCUAACACAUGCAAGUCGCACGGGGGGGCUUCGGCCUCCCAGUGGCGGACGGGUGAGGAACGCGUAGGGACCUGUCGAGGGGUGGGGGAUAACCGCGGGAAACUGCGGCUAAUACCGCAUGACGCCGCGGCGUGACAGCCGGGGCCAAAGGCGAAAGCCGCCCGCCGAGGGGCCUGCGUCCGAUUAGCUGGUUGGCGGGGUAGCGGCCCACCAAGGCGUCGAUCGGUAGCUGGUCUGAGAGGGUGAUCAGACACACCGGGACUGAGACACGGCCCGGACUCCUACGGGAGGCAGCAGUGGGGAAUAUUGGACAAUGGGCGCAAGCCUGAUCCAGCAAUGCCGCGUGGGUGAAGAAGGUCUUCGGAUUGUAAAGCCCUUUCGGCGGGGACGAUGGUGACGGUACCCGCAGAAGAAGCCCCGGCUAACUUCGUG
This 451-nucleotide ribosomal RNA is filed under the name uncultured bacterium. Its description in RNAcentral is "partial 16S ribosomal RNA". It matches the Rfam family "Bacterial small subunit ribosomal RNA", at positions 28 to 507 of the family's 1533-position model. The record is from RNAcentral.